RNAcentral lists this transfer RNA (65 nucleotides) under Rattus norvegicus (Norway rat). It matches the Rfam family "tRNA". Rfam says of the family: Transfer RNA (tRNA) molecules are approximately 80 nucleotides in length. Lineage: Eukaryota; Metazoa; Chordata; Mammalia; Rodentia; Muridae. The record is from Rfam by way of RNAcentral.
AAUAUAGCUCAGUGGUAGAGCACUUGCCUACCAUGCAGAAGGUCCUAGGUUCAAUCCCUAGUGUU